UUCGAUUCUGGCUCAGGAUGAACGCUAGCUACAGGCUUAACACAUGCAAGUCGAGGGGCAGCAUGGUCUUAGCUUGCUAAGAUUGAUGGCGACCGGCGCACGGGUGAGUAACGCGUAUCCAACCUUCCCUAUAGUAGGGGAUAGCCCGUAGAAAUGCGGAUUAAUACCCUAUGUUGUAUUUUGAGGACAUCUGACGAAUACCAAAGGUUCACCGCUAUAGGAUGGGGAUGCGUCUGAUUAGGUAGUCGGCGGGGUAACGGCCCACCGAGCCAACGAUCAGUAGGGGUUCUGAGAGGAAGGUCCCCCACAUUGGAACUGAGACACGGUCCAAACUCCUACGGGAGGCAGCAGUGAGGAAUAUUGGUCAAUGGGCGAGAGCCUGAACCAGCCAAGUAGCGUGCAGGAUGACGGCCCUAUGGGUUGUAAACUGCUUUUAUGCGGGGAUAAAGUGAGGGACGUGUCCCUUAUUGUAGGUACCGCAUGAAUAAGGACCGGCUAAUUCCGUGCCAGCAGCUGC
This 517-nucleotide ribosomal RNA is filed under the name uncultured bacterium. RNAcentral's name for it is "bacterial SSU rRNA". It matches the Rfam family "Bacterial small subunit ribosomal RNA", at positions 12 to 518 of the family's 1533-position model. The record is from RNAcentral.